Molecule: ribosomal RNA, 253 nt
Filed under: uncultured bacterium
Lineage: Bacteria
Description: partial 16S ribosomal RNA
Rfam family: Bacterial small subunit ribosomal RNA
Source: RNAcentral
UACGUAGGUGGCAAGCGUUGUCCGGAUUUACUGGGCGUAAAGAGCGCGCAGGCGGUCGCUCAAGUCGCGUGUGAAAGCCCCCGGCUCAACUGGGGAGGGUCACGCGAUACUGAUCGACUCGAAGGCAGGAGAGGGAAGUGGAAUUCCCGGUGUAGUGGUGAAAUGCGUAGAGAUCGGGAGGAACACCAGUGGCGAAGGCGGCCCCCUGGGCCGCUCCUGACGCUGAGACGCGAAGGCGCGGGGAGCGAACGGG